This 73-nucleotide transfer RNA is filed under the name Candidatus Woesearchaeota archaeon. Its description in RNAcentral is "tRNA-Gln". It matches the Rfam family "tRNA". From Rfam's summary of the family: Transfer RNA (tRNA) molecules are approximately 80 nucleotides in length. Their secondary structure includes four short double-helical elements and three loops (D, anti-codon, and T loops). The record is from RNAcentral. Lineage: Archaea; Nanobdellati; Candidatus Woesearchaeota.
AGCCCCGUAGUGUAGCGGUCAAUCAUCUCGCCCUCUGGAGGCGGGGACGGCGGUUCGAAUCCGCCCGGGGCUA